GCCUAUAAUUUUCUGGCUGACCAUCUUAGAACUAGAAAUCUUUAAGUCGUAGAAGUGGUAGAUUAUAUUUUAAAGCACACUGGGUUUGUUGUUCUCAAGUAGUUUAUGACAUCACAUGUUUUCGACUAAACUGAAAAUUAUAAAGCAGUAUCUUUAGAAUUGUUGGUAGCAGGAAAGUUAAUAAUGGACAUGAAGCAAUGGAAGAAAAAAAUCAUAUACUUAUUAGAAUAUUGUGUCCUUGAAUACAAACUGAUUCAAAAUUAUCCAAAAUAGUUAAAAUAUCAAUAGUCAAAACAUCUAGACAAUCAAAUGAGUAGGAAAUUGUUUAUGAAAUUUAUUUUGCAAAUGAAAUAUAAUCCAUGGAAACUGUUUUUAUCUAUACAGUACCUUUAAAGAAUUUUAUUCUCUGAUUUUUUUUCCAAUUGGAUUGUUCUGAUUUUUUUCCUACUUUUAUUGACGAAUGGAAUAGACUGAAAUAGUUAAACCUG
RNAcentral lists this long non-coding RNA (488 nucleotides) under Bos taurus (domestic cattle). Its description in RNAcentral is "long non-coding RNA NONBTAT019343". The record is from RNAcentral. Lineage: Eukaryota; Metazoa; Chordata; Mammalia; Artiodactyla; Bovidae.